GCCCCUCUCACUCCCACCAAACAGACAGCUGUCACAUUCAUUGGCUGAUGCCGACCUUGAAAACCCUAAAUGACAUUGGCCCUGUAUAUUUAAAGAAGCGUCUCCACACCCAUCGUCCAGACCAGAUACUUAGGACCAGCUCCAAGGGCCUUCUGGUGGUUCCCUCAAGCAUUAAUACACUCAAGUGAGAUUCCGUUUUUCAGCUGCUGUUUUUAAUACUAGAAGCAGAAUUUCAAGUUACACUAAGUUACUAUGUAGGCUUAGGUUAUGAACUCAGGAAGAAAGGAAGUUGGGUCAUGUCAAAGUACAAACUGGAUAUGGUAGAGAAAGAUAAUUAUGUAUGAAGAGGGAGGCUGCACUUCGUGUAUCUCUACAGGUAGGGUUAUUCCUAAAAGUUGUAUGUCCAGAAACACUCCAGGGAUGUGAUUCAAUGAUUCCCUUUCAUCAUUAAAGAUGAAUGAAAAAUGAAGAGCAAACUUUAUCUAAGGAGAUAAAUUCAUUCCCAAGGCAGCUCUGUGUGUUUCAUUACUACUAUGGUGGAAUACAGUUAAGAAUCAGGCAACAACUUUAGUUUUUGUGGCCAGGUGUUCCUUUGUGUUCAGAUCAGGCCUCAGAACAAGAAUGUAGCAUUUGGGAAUGAAGAUGCAGCCCAGAAGCCCAGCACUGGAAGCCAAGAUAGAGAAGAUCUGCACGGCUACCAUGUAUUUCCCCUUUGUGCUCAGGUAGGUGGGCACAAAGGAGACCCAAACGCUGCAGAAGACCAGCAUGCUGAAGGUGAUCAGCUUGGCUUCAUUGAAGGCCCCAGGCAGCUUCCUAGCUAAGAAAGCCACUGUGAAGCAGAUGGCAGCCAGGAAGCCCAUGUAACCCAGGGCAGCAUAAAACAUGGCAAUAGACCCUUCAUUGCAUUGCAGGGUGAUCUCUCCAGCCUGGGAAUGCUUGUCAGAGUCUGGGAAUGGGGGAGAGAUGCCCAGCCAAAUGAUGCAAAGGACCAUUUGGACACUGGAGCAGGAAAUGACAAUGGAGUUGGCCAGACUUUUCCCUAACCAUCUCCUCACCCUGUUCCCUGGCUUUGUGGCCAGGAAGGCCAGCACCACCAUGAUGGUUUUGGACAGCAAAGAGGACACAGCUACCGAGAAGAUGGUGCUGAAGGCCGUUUGUCGAAGGAGGCAGGUGACUUUCCUGGGACGGCCAAUGAAGAGGAAGGAAGACAAGAAGGACAGCAGGAGGGAGACAAGGAGGAUGAAGGAGAGGUCCCUGUUGUUGGCUUUGACUAUGGGAGUUUCCUUGUAUUUAAUGAAGAUCCCUACAGCAAAGCCUGUGCUUAAGGACAGGAAGAGAGCCAAAGACGUCAGGAUAAUCCCCAAAUAUUCUUUAUAUGAUAGGAAGGUGAUAAUCCUCGGAAUGCAGUGAUCUCGGUCCUUGUUUGGAUAUUGUUCUUCUGGACAUUUGGUGCAACGCUCUGCAU
This 1465-nucleotide long non-coding RNA is filed under the name Podarcis lilfordi (Lilford's wall lizard). The record is from RNAcentral. Lineage: Eukaryota; Metazoa; Chordata; Lepidosauria; Squamata; Lacertidae.